This 355-nucleotide unclassified non-coding RNA is filed under the name soil metagenome. RNAcentral's name for it is "partial contains 5.8S ribosomal RNA, internal transcribed spacer 2, and large subunit ribosomal RNA". The stretch from base 1 to 120 matches the Rfam family "5.8S ribosomal RNA", at positions 35 to 154 of the family's 154-position model. The record is from RNAcentral.
GAUGAAGAACGUAGCGAAAUGCGAUAAGUAGUGUGAAUUGCAGAAUUCAGUGAAUCAUCGAAUCUUUGAACGCACAUUGCGCCUCCUGGUAUUCCGGGAGGCAUGCCUGUUCGAGCGUCAUUAAAAUCACUCAAGCUUAGGUUUACCUAUUGCUUGGUCUUGGAGAUGGAAGCCAAUUUAUUGGAAUCCUCUUCGAAAUUCAAUGGCGAAGACCCUUGCUCUCCCAAGUGUAGUAAUAACUUAUGUCACUGAAGGAAGCGAGAAAUCUUCUGCCGUAACCCCCAUAUUUUCUAUGAUUGACCUCGGAUCAGGUAGGGAGACCCGCUGAACUUAAGCAUAUCAAUAAGCGGAAGGA